RNAcentral lists this ribosomal RNA (502 nucleotides) under uncultured bacterium. RNAcentral's name for it is "partial 16S ribosomal RNA". It matches the Rfam family "Bacterial small subunit ribosomal RNA", at positions 29 to 507 of the family's 1533-position model. The record is from RNAcentral.
AGCGAACGCUGGCGGCGUGCCUAACACAUGCAAGUCGAACGUGAAAGGGAGCAAUCCCAAGUAAAGUGGCGUACGGGUGAGUAACACGUAGGUAAUCUACCCCAGAAUCUGGAAUAACCGGCCGAAAGGCUGGCUAAUACUGGAUAGAGCGACGGAAUCCGUAAUUGGGUUUUUCGGGAAAGGGAGCCUGUAAAAAGGCCUUCGUUCUGGGAUGAGCCUGCGUCCCAUCAGCUAGUUGGUGAGGUAAAAGCUUACCAAGGCAAUGACGGGUAGCUGGUCUGAGAGGACGAUCAGACACACUGGAACUGAAACACGGUCCAGACUCCUACGGGAGGCAGCAGUGGGGAAUCUUGCGCAAUGGACGAAAGUCUGACGCAGCAACGCCGCGUGAGUGAAGAAGGCCUUCGGGUUGUAAAGCUCUGUCGAGUGGGACGAAAAUGCUUGGAGUUCACAGCUCCAGGAACUGACGGUACCACUAAAGGAAGCACCGGCUAACUCCGUG